GCCCUUUCAAUAAUAAAAGGUGACACCUGCCCAAUGGUUUAUAAGUAAAGAAAUAAUCUAACUUCAAAUAAACUCAAAGGACGCGGUAUCCUGACCGUGAUAAUGUAGCAUAAUCAUUCGCCAUUUAAUUGAUGGAUAGUAUGAAUGGUAUAACGAGUAUAACACUGUCUCAAGAAAAACCCUUAUGAAAUUAGAAUAAUAGUAAAGAUACUAUUUAAAACUGUAAGACGAGAAGACCCUAUAGAGCUUAACUAUAACUCUUUAAAAAGUAGUAAAUUAAUUUACUAAAAUAAAGAGAUAGGUAGUUUAGUUGGGGCGACUGUUUUCUAAAACUAACGAAAACAAGCAAAAUUAAUUAAAAAAUUUACUGUAUAAUAAAUAAAUUUAACAGUUAUAAAAAUAGGCAAUAAUGACCCGUUAUUUAUACAUAAUAAUAAUAACGAUCAAUAAAUAAAAGCUACCUUAGGGAUAACAGGAUAAUCUUGUUCUAGAGAUCUUAUCGAAAACAAGGUUUGUCACCUCUAUGUUGAAUUGAGAUAACCAAGAAGUGCAGAAGCUUCUAAAGGUAGGUCUGUUCGACCUAUAAAUCUU
This 591-nucleotide ribosomal RNA is filed under the name Apatizanclea divergens. RNAcentral's name for it is "partial large subunit ribosomal RNA". It matches the Rfam family "Bacterial large subunit ribosomal RNA", at positions 1833 to 2597 of the family's 2925-position model. Lineage: Eukaryota; Metazoa; Cnidaria; Hydrozoa; Anthoathecata; Zancleidae. The record is from RNAcentral.